RNAcentral lists this long non-coding RNA (5194 nucleotides) under Xyrichtys novacula (pearly razorfish). The record is from RNAcentral. Lineage: Eukaryota; Metazoa; Chordata; Actinopteri; Labriformes; Labridae.
GCUUGGCAGAGUGCUUUGGGUCAUUGUCUUGCCGCAAAACAAACUUAUGAGCCACAAGUCUGAGUCCAGAUGGAACAGCAUGGUGCUGGAGGAUGGAGUGGUACUGUUCCUUCUUCAUGAUACCCUUUACUUCAAACAAAUCUCCUACUCCAUCACCUGCAAAACAUCCCCAUACCAUGAAACUACCACCUCAAUGCUGAAUUGUGGGUGUAACACAUGGUACUUUCAGACGUUCACCAGUUUGUCUCUGGACAUAGGCUCUGUGUUUUGAACCAAACAGUGCAAACUUGUUUCUAGUCAUCGUAAGUCAAAUUUUUGUGAGCUUUUGCCCACUCAUAUCUCUUUUUCUUAUUCUGUAGACGAAGUAGUGUUUUUUUUUGCAGAUACACAACCCUUCAGACCAGCCUUUCUCAAACGUCAUUUUACGGUUGUCAGAGAUAUGGGUUUCGACCUUGUCAUGUUGAUUUCCUCCCUUAUUUUUGGUGCUGUCUUUUGCCGAUCUCUCUUGCUGGUGACAAUGAUAUGUUUAUCAUUUGCUUUUGUAGUAACUCUCUUUCAUCCAGGUCUUUUUCUAUCAUCAUAACUUCCAGGUUCCUCUAGUCUCUUGAGAGUGUAGUGGACUCCUUUGUUAAACACCUUUAGGUGUUUUGCAAUUUCUCUUUCUGUGUAUCCUUCUUUCCUCAAUGUACAAAUCUUUACUUUUGUUUCUUUACUCAGUUGCUUCUUUCUAGCCAUUUUGCGGUAGAUUGAAUGCAGUUGAGAUUUAUUAGGAUUUUUGUAUGCAGACUCUCAAAAGCCAAAAAGUUGAAGUGAAUAAUCCAACUGUGAUUAGUUUUUUUGCUUUUGCACUGAAGUUGUGACUCUUGCAAAUGUUUUCAACCCUAAAACUAAGCCCUUAUUAUCUUUUGCUGACAUAUAUUUAGCAAUGUUCUGUUAACAUCAAUGUAUAUCUAAAGGUAAAUGGAGUAAAAUGGUGCAUUUCCAUGAAAGCAACAUCUAAUCAUGGAGUAAAUACAUCCCCCAAAAAAUAAAACUCAUGCUGGAUUUAAAAAAAAAGCAUUGUGACAAAAACUUGAAGUUACUUCCAACUGUUCGGCCUGUAAUGGCCUUGCUUCCAAACUUUUGGCCUGUAGUGUACGUACCCAUUUAUUUUUAAAAACAGAUACAUGAACCACCAUGACACAAACUGAGAAUUCGCCCCUGAAAACGAUGCGUGGAGAGUGGAGAUUUUGGAAAACUCUGUUUGCAUGUAAACGGAGAAAAACUUAGAUUUGGGUAGUCGUCGGCAGAUUGUGCGCCGGAAACUGGAUUAAAUGUGACAAUGUUUACAAUCUAUCAUCAUGAUCAUAGAUGUAUGCAGUAUAUCAGUCGCAUUUAUGCUGGUUUAACCCCUUUUAUAUUUGUUUGCAUUUGCAUCUUUUCUAAAAGAAGGAAUCGCUUUUGUUGUUGCAGCUAUGCCGGAUUUUGAUCGACUCACGUGGGCUUGAGCUUCUCUCUACACUGCCACCUACAGGUUUGGCAUGCUCUUGACGGCAUAUACACACGAGUUAGUGUAAACGAAGACUUGAAUGCAGUGGUGUGCAUGCAGUUGUUUUUGUAAACAGAGAGGGUGAAAUGUCAGUUUCUAAAAAUAGCUGGGCACAUAAAAACCCCACCGCAUCCGGAAUGGCGGUAAUUUUAGCUGUCCGCCAAUUAUUACUGAAAGCAUUUGUGAGGCGAAUUUCGUGACGGAUUACGGACAGCUUCAUGGAUUCAUGGUCAGUCGCGCAAUAACAAGUUGUCUCUAUAAAGACAGACACAUAGACAUAUAAGCAGUAGAAUGUGUCCCUCCAGAGGAGGAAGUCUACUUCUAGACUUUUAGAAUCAGCAUCUCCUCAUCCAUGGUGGCACCGGGUUGAAAUGACGUCUAAAAACCUUUCACUUGUUCGUCUCCGCCCGUUUGCAUGGUUUAAAAUACGAUCCUCCUGAGACACGGAGAGUUUUAGUUUGAAAAGAAGCCGAAUGUUUUUUUUGUGUCUGUGCCCAACUGCUUUUCCAGCACGGGUUAACCUGUGCUGAAUUUAUCCGGCAUGCUCUGGCAUCCGGAAAAAAUAGAACUCUUGCGAUCAGCUAUCGAGUCUGGCGAUCCGCAGCGGAACGGAAAGAAGCCGGUGGAAAUCGACACGUUAACUUGAAUGGUUACGAUCAGCUACGAUUGACGGAUACAACCUUCUAGUAGACGUUCAGGAUGUGGUGGAAAUUGGGGUUAACACUGUUUUGGAAAGGACAGCUGGACUUACUUGGGACGUUUCACCUUAGGCAAAACAUCCCAAGUAAGUCUAGCUGUCCUUUUAAUGAAGAAUUUGAAAUCACAGAUGCUGCAUCCUCAGUUUUAGACAAUAUCUCCAGGUUUAGGAGCAACAUCUGCGUCCAUCCAGACAAAGAUUUUUUCAGGGAAGAACUUUAUAUGAUCCCAAACCACAUUCUAACAACAGUUGAAAUAUGGAAUGUAGAACUCUUGUGGUCAGCUGUGGAGUCCGGCAGUCCACAGCGGAACGGAAAGAAGCCGGUGAAAAUUGACAUGUUAACUUGAAUGGUUACGAUCAGCUACGAUCAGAGGAUACAACCAUUUAGUAGCUGUUUAGGAUGCAUUGGAAAUUGGGUGUAAAUGUGGUCUAUGUCUAUGUGCAGGGCGGUAAUUUUGAAAAGAGAGCUUCUCUACUUUAAUUUAGAGAAACAUCCUGCAAAUGCAACAAAGCAGAAAUAUGUUAAAACGUGUGCUAAAGUAAGCCGAUCCAGGAGGCUAGAAUAACGUUCAUAAACCUGCAGCAGAGAUCUCCACAGAGGAACAUGAUGAGCGUGAUUUCAGAGGAAAAAAAGCACAGUUUUCAGAUUUGUCUGUGUUCCUUGUUUCCACGUGUCCUCUAUGUUCGAGGUCUAAAUGUUGCGUGCAGAAUUUCACGCUUUAGUUUCCUGUGACUUUGACAAACCGCCCUGUUGUGUAAGUGUGUGUGUUUGAAGGUAAGCAUGCAUUCACAGCCUUCGAGAGCCUAUUAUCAGCCUUCCCGGUCUCCUUAUGUAAGCAGACUAUAAGUCAAACAAUACCUGUGUAACCUUCAAACACCUACAGCAGCUCUCUGUGCCGGCGCUUGUGUAACCGCGGUAACCGUGGUCGAUGGUGUACCUGUUGUGUUAUAUCUUUCAGCUCAUUGAUGUGGGCGUUAGAAUUUGAGGAAAUGUGAAUGGGCUUCUGUUGUUCCGAGUUUGACAGAGGAGAAACAGUCCUGUCUUUCUCCAAGUCUGUGUGGACUCUGAAGAGCUCAUGUCCUUCACGGUGCCUCUUUGUGUGAGUCUGUUUAUGUGUAACAACGACAGCACAGCCUUAUGUUUGGUAUGCAUGCCUCACUUAUUGUCUGCUCCUCUGGAAGAGAAGGAGGGAAUAAAAGCUCCUGUUGGCAAAGAUCAGUGAGGAGGAGGUUUUUAUUUCCAUCCUCUUUACACCUGUGUGGAGGUUUAUAUCCUUUCAGACCGGUUUGAUGUCACAGCGUGUCCGUGAACAGCCGGACUGACCCUCAGAUCCUGAAUGAGCUGAUUCACACAAACUCAGCCUUGACUCCAGCUAAAAACCUGCUUCACAAAGAUCUGAUGUUCAGCUGUGUGACAUGACAAUAAAACCAAUUCUUCUUUUUAUUGGACCAGCAAAGAGUUUUUGUAUUUGAGGUAAAUCUCCAGGCAGUCAUUUACUCCGAUUACUUUGUUCUGUGCAGUAAAAUGACAGAUAAUUAAAGCACCUCAUGUGGACUGUGAUCUUUUUAAGUCUCCUUACUGAUCUUAUUCUGUAUGUAGAAUAUUUUUAUAGUUGAAAAAGAACCUCUUUGCUCUCAUAUAUUUAACUCCUCCUGACAUGAAGCUGAAACUCUGCUGUGACAUGGAAUGCGAAUGUGCAUGAAGACUGGUGAAACCUCAGUACUCAUGUCCCCUUUAAAGGCAUUCAGGAUGGUAAAUCCACCAGUAGGGGGGGCUGAGUUCUUCUAUAAGUAGUGCUGUUACUAUGAUCGAAGUGUUUGAUUAAAUUAGCUGAGGCUAGGACCGUCAUCACACCUGUGAAAUCUGGUGAACAUCAGACAUAGGCUGUGUCCGAAAUGGCAUACUGCCUACUAUCUACUUACCUACUCAAGCAGUACCUACUGCAUACUGACUACUCAAAGAUGAUUUGAGUAUGCCGCGGCUGCUCGAGCGUUUACGUACAGAUGCAUACUAUAUACCCCAGAAUGCAUUUCGUGACGGCCGGACGCAGCACCGGGAAAAUUUAAAUAGUCCUACCACAAGCUACACAGAACGACUGCAUUCCGGACAAAUUAUAUAAAUUCAUUCAAUAAUAAUAUUUUUUCUAGCAAGAAAGUAAGUGUUUACAUCACGAUUAUGAGCCCAGUUGUUUGAAAUAGUGGCUGUUUGUAAAUUUGUCUCGGUGUUUUCGGAGACCAAAGCGUCCGCUUGGUGGGUGUUUGCGUCUAUUUACCGUAAACACCGGGCAGCAGCAGCUCCCCCUUCAUGUUUUCAAAUUAUUACGAAGUGUUUAUAUAAUCAACAACUACGCGACACAAACCGAGCGGCAGUGGAUAAAAAAAUACCACAGACACCUGUGUAUCCAUGGUGAUAAUGCUAUACACCACCUGCUGGGCGUGUGAUGAGCAGCAGAGGGCUGCAAAAUGACCAACACACAACAUAAUUAUUAUGACCUCGCUCGGUUAUUCCUUGGCAAAUACAUCAUUUCCCGACUACAUUCUUUUCAUGUACAAUGAUAAUUUCAGAAACCAUCAGAUUUUCAACCACAAGUAAGAAUUAGUAAAGCUCAUAUCUACAUUGUCAACUGGAAACUCCCCUGUUUGUAUAUUCUGAACCAUGUGCUCUCUACCAAUAAUAAUUUUUAUUAAUCAGAGGUCUGUACUUCAUAUGAGUGACCACUUUGAUGAUGCAUUCAGAGAUGAGAAGAUGCUCAAACUUGAUGUAAUAAAUACAUCUUUAAUAGACACUUAAAUAAAUAAAGUCAAUUCAUACGAUAGUUAAAAACAUUACCUACAAUCCUAAUUUAAAAUACAAAUAAAUCUGGUAAAAAGAUCAAAAUAUGAUAAAAUGAUAAAAAUUGUGUAAUGUAUACUGACUAAAUAUUGUUUAUCUGUUUAUAUAUAUAUAAUUAUUAUUGCAAUCACAUGCC